GGCUCAGGAUGAACGCUAGCUACAGGCUUAACACAUGCAAGUCGAGGGGCAGCAGGGAUUUAGCUUGCUAAAUCCGCUGGCGACCGGCGCAAGGGUGCGUAACGCGUGAGCAACUUGCCCGUUUCAGGGGGAUAACCGGUGGAAACGCCGACUAAUACCCCAUAGUAUCAUGAUCAGGCAUCUUUUCAUGAUUAAAGAAUUUCGGAAACGGAUAGGCUCGCGUGACAUUAGCUAGAUGGCGGGGUAACGGCCCACCAUGGCGACGAUGUCUAGGGGUUCUGAGAGGAAGGUCCCCCACACUGGAACUGAGACACGGUCCAGACUCCUACGGGAGGCAGCAGUGAGGAAUAUUGGUCAAUGGUCUGACGACUGAACCAGCCAUGCCGCGUGAAGGUCACGGCCCUAUGGGUCUUAAACUUCUUUUGUAAGGGAGCAAUAAGCCUCACGUGUGGGGUGAUGAGAGUACCUUACGAAUAAGCAUCGGCUAACUCCGUG
RNAcentral lists this ribosomal RNA (495 nucleotides) under uncultured bacterium. RNAcentral's name for it is "bacterial SSU rRNA". It matches the Rfam family "Bacterial small subunit ribosomal RNA", at positions 21 to 507 of the family's 1533-position model. The record is from RNAcentral.